UAUCUAUCCUGUGUGUGUAAAGAAGAGUUCAAUGUGUCUUUCACCUGCCAGACUUUCAAGAGGUGCAAUAUGUCACAUUAAAAUUUGUAGAACAUUGGAUGAAUGUCUGAUCAGUUCAAAAUGACUGUUUGCUAUGUCUACAUGAGACCAGAUAAUUUUGAAAACGCCAGUUUCACAUAAAAACAAUCGGCGUCCACACCAGGCGUUUUUGAAAAUACCUCCGUCCACGUUACAACGGGUAUUUGGGCGAAUCUCCUCCUAUUGGGCAUGCGCAGGACACAUCUACAGAAAACAAGCGAAGAGGAAACGGUAUUCUAUUUC
This is a long non-coding RNA of Mobula hypostoma (lesser devil ray), 321 nucleotides long. RefSeq lists it as uncharacterized. Lineage: Eukaryota; Metazoa; Chordata; Chondrichthyes; Myliobatiformes; Myliobatidae. The transcript has 3 exons. The record is from RefSeq and is a predicted model, not a curated record.